CUGCAAAAUCCCAUGAUCAUCAAGAGGAACACAUCUUCCCCACAGAAGCAGAAGCACAGUAUGCCUAGUGUGAAAGCCCCACGCCAAAGAGCACUGAGUGUCUUUACCAACCCUUGGUCUGCACAGGACUCAGGAGAGCCAGUUUUGCUUUUCCUGGGAUCCAGAUCAUCCAGUUAAUCCACUGUCUACAGCACAGGAACCCAGGCAGAUUCUAUUUCUCCUUCCAUACAAGUUCCCCUUUCAGCCAGGAUCACUGCAUAUCUGCGAACACAGACACUGAGAAGCAGC
This is a long non-coding RNA of Mus musculus (house mouse), 288 nucleotides long. RefSeq annotates it as predicted gene, 39694. Lineage: Eukaryota; Metazoa; Chordata; Mammalia; Rodentia; Muridae. The transcript is spliced from 3 exons. The record is from RefSeq and is a predicted model, not a curated record.